Long non-coding RNA from Actinia tenebrosa (Australian red waratah sea anemone), 1011 nucleotides. RefSeq lists it as uncharacterized. The record is from RefSeq and is a predicted model, not a curated record. NCBI's taxonomy places the organism in Eukaryota, Metazoa, Cnidaria, Anthozoa, Actiniaria, Actiniidae.
AUUUUUUAUUCACAUCACUUGAGACAAAAGAAACAGUAUCUUUACAAAGAAAUGUUGUAUACCAUAAGUUAUCUACAUAACUUGGAUUGAAUGGAAAAGUGUGAUGGAAUAAGAAUAUAAGACUACACAACACAGGCUAAAGAAUACUGUAUGUGAAGGUUCAUACCACUGCAUUAGCAAGAUGCCAUUUGGUAAAGCAACACACAGAUGUGAGCCAAAAAGAGAUGAUUCAAGAUGACCUUACCAAUACAACAUUUUGUGCAUCCUCUGGUCUCUGCAAUCCUUUGUGAAUAAACAACGCCUCUGUAUUCAAAGUGCCUUUUUAAAGUUCAUAGGUCAGGCCAAGUCAUGAUUUCAAUAUGAUGCAAAGGAUCAAGAGCCUAAAUUCACCAAAAACUGGCCAUUGACACUUGGGAUUUCUACAUCAGGCAUUGACAGGGUGGCAUGGAUGUUGUGGUCCAGGUUCAAGCAACAACUUGGGCUAGAUCAUAAUUUAUACCAUGAACUACAGAAAGGCAAACUGACUAGUAUCUAACAGGAGUGUGUUACUUUAUACCAAUGAUAAUUUAAGAAAUUAUGUUUUUAAUUUUAUAUUAAAGCCUUUUGUGAAGUAUUUAGUACAAUAAGAACAAGCAGCUUAUAUCUAUUACUUAGUGGCUGCAUGUUACUACCUUCCAUGAACAGCAGAAUCAAGUGAUUCUGAUAAAUAGUGUUUAAUGGAUGGUCAUUAAUUAGUUCAAUUACUCCUCAUUACCAAUGGACUGGGUUAGUGUUAUUAAUAAUAAACCAAUAGCUACUUAACAAUUUUAAUAAAUUUGAGCAAUAAUUUCAUGUUAUCUUUCAUAAAACACAUUGCAAACUCUUCAUGUAUUUAGGUCAAAAGUAAAUGCUCAUUAAAGUUAGAUACAAGAUUACAAGGUCAAAAAAGUAAUUACAAACUAUAUAGAUUACAUGGAAAAUUUAUAAAAGUUUAUAAAAAUUGAUAAUUUACAUUGUGAUUAUUGAUUAUGA